Molecule: ribosomal RNA, 460 nt
Filed under: uncultured bacterium
Lineage: Bacteria
Description: partial 16S ribosomal RNA
Rfam family: Bacterial small subunit ribosomal RNA
Source: RNAcentral
CCUACGGGAGGCAGCAGUGGGGAAUAUUGGUCAAUGGACGAGAGUCUGAACCAGCAACGUCGCGUGAAGGCUGACUGCCCUAUGGGUUGUAACCUUCUUUUAUAUGGGCAUAACAAGUUACACGAGUGGGGUUUUGUGUGUACCCUAUGAAUAAGGCUCGACUAACUCCGUGCCAGCAGCGGCGGUCAUACGGAGGAGCCGAGCGUUAUCCGGAUUUAUUGGGUUUAAAGGGAGCGUAGGUGGAGUGUUAAGUCAGUUGUGAAAGUUUGCGGCUCAACCGUUAGAUUGCAGUUGAAACUGGGAGUCUUGAGUACAGUAGAGGUAGGCGGAAUUCGUGGUGUAGCGGUGAAAUGCUUAGAUAUCACGAAGAACUCCGAUUGCGAAGGCAGCUCACUGGACUGCAACUGACACUGAGGCUCGAAAGUGUGGGUAUCAAACAGGAUUAGAUACCCCGGUAGUC